UGGAUGCUUUUUAAAAAAAGUCCUUAAUGUCCUUUUAGGUUUAUAUUUUAUUUUAUUUUUUAAUUUUAUUUAUUUAUCUGACAGAGAGAAAAAGUGAGAGAGCAAGAGUGGAGUGAGGGGCUGAAGGAGAAGCAGACUCCCCAUUGAGCAGGGAGCCCAAUGAAGAGCUCCAUCCUGGAACUCCAGGAUUAUGACCUGAGCUGAAGGUCAUAUGAACAAAGGGAAGAACUUCUAAAGUAAUGGAAUGAGAAUGGGUGGAUUCUGUCAAAUGUAGAUCCAAAUCCUGAUCCUGUCCCUAAUUAGCUAUAGCUGUGUCAUCUGGGGCGCGUCUGUAAUAACAGGAAAGCCACAAAAUAUUUGAAGACUAAAGAGAGAGUCUGAUGUUCAGCUGUUCCGUGGAUACAACAUGGGUUUCUUCGGAGUCUUCUUUCAUGUCAUCUUUGCAUCUUAAAAAGUAUGUCAAGAAUCUUCAAGGUUCUAAUUUUAAAGUGUCUUCAAACAUCAUAAUCACUGUAUUAAGACACAAAAAAAAAAGAGAACAAAGAGUUGAAGAGGCGAUGGGAUUCAAGAGAGCGCUAUUAAUAAUGAAAUUUUUCUUUGCCAGGCCCUGGAAUCUUAAUUUUGCCCCCUUAAUCCAGCAAGUCUGUUAA
This 650-nucleotide long non-coding RNA is filed under the name Vulpes vulpes (red fox). RNAcentral's name for it is "lncRNA (ENSVVUG00000011070.1)". Lineage: Eukaryota; Metazoa; Chordata; Mammalia; Carnivora; Canidae. The record is from RNAcentral.